This is an RNA transcript of Fragaria vesca subsp. vesca, 1314 nucleotides long. It is a transcript of the gene named phosphoglycerate kinase, chloroplastic-like, with no coding region annotated. The transcript has 5 exons. The record is from RefSeq and is a predicted model, not a curated record. NCBI's taxonomy places the organism in Eukaryota, Viridiplantae, Streptophyta, Magnoliopsida, Rosales, Rosaceae.
AUGCUGGUGAACAAACAUGAAACAAAGGAAUUACGUCUUGGAGAUUUGAUUGGCUUUGGGAAGUUAAAACCAAAACGUUUGUAUGCUUUCCAGCACUUGAUGUCACUGGUGGAGACCAAGAAGAUAGCGGAAAAACUGGAUGUGGCCGAGUUGAAGGGCAAGAGGGUCUUAGUGAGGGUGGAUUUGGAUGUCCCCCUUAAUGAGAACUUUCAGAUCAUGGAUGACACUAGACUCCAAGCCUCUGUUCCCACAAUCAAGCACUUGCAAGAAAAAGGUGCCAAAAUUACCCCUCCGUUUCCCGCAAUUGAGGGCUUCAAGUACUUAGCCAAGAAGCUUGUUUCACUUGCGGAUGUCUUUGUAAAUGAUUCUUUUGGCACAUCUCACUUGGCUCAUGCAUCAACAGAAGGCCUGGCUAAGUACUUGAAGCCUUCAGCUGCGGGAAACCUUUUGCGUCAUGAAGGGCACUAUCUUGUUGAUGUUUUAUCAUUUCCGAAGAGACCAUUUGCAGCCGUUGUCAGUGGGUUUAAUCUUUCAUUGAAGAUUGGGGUAAUAGAGUACUUACUGGACAAGGUUGAUAUUCUGUUAUUGGGUGGAGGGCUGAUCUUCACCUUUCUCAUGGCAGAGGGGUAUUCCAUUGUAUCUUCCCUUGUCGAAAGAGCUAUGGUUGAUGCUGCCAAAAAGGUUUUGGAGAAGGCAAAGGAGAAACAAGUUCGUAUGCUCCCAACGGAUGUAGCGAUUUCGAAAACGCUCUCUGCUGAUGCCAAUAGAAAGGUGGUUUCAGUGUCUUAACAUAUAGCUCUCUAUGGGGAUGGAUAUAGGAACGGAUUCCAUCAAGAGGUUCACUGAUGUUCUUAUCAUUUGGAGUGGACCAAUGGGCAUGUCUGAGUUUGACAAUUUUGCAGUUGGUACUGAGGCAAUUGCAAGAAAGCUUGCGGACUUGACUGAGAAGGAGGAAGUUUCAACUAUAGUUCGAGGGGGUGCCACUGUUGCUGCUGUGAGGAGGCUUGGCCUUAGAAUGAGCCACAUGUCAGCAGGUGAGAGUGAUGCAAGCCUGGAGUUCCUAAAAGGGUUACCCCUCCCUGGAAUCCUUGCACUGGAUUCAGUUGAUUAAGGCUCACCAUUUUCGAGUUUUCUAGUUUAGUUUGUGAACUGGAUUUGUGGUCUGCUUGCUCUUUUUAACUUUUGGGAUCUUCCCUCUCUUUCUAGUAUCCACCUCAGAUCCAGAUGCAAAACUUAAAUAUAUGGAAACUUAACAUGUUUUUAGGUACAUUGAGUUCAUCUCAUAUUUUAGUAAAUCUCAGUACCGUCUUGAGG